This 555-nucleotide ribosomal RNA is filed under the name Triticum aestivum (bread wheat). RNAcentral's name for it is "partial small subunit ribosomal RNA". Lineage: Eukaryota; Viridiplantae; Streptophyta; Magnoliopsida; Poales; Poaceae. The record is from RNAcentral.
AUGCAUUGUUGCUUCAGAUGGACUGACCCAGAACUCCCAGCAAGUUGCCUGAGGAGCAGAAUAAAGACGUACAGCCUAAAUGCUUCUCCACUGUUGUCAUAUGUAUGCAUGAGUUGCUUGUUUUUCAGGAGUUUCUUCAGCUACGAGUUCAGAACGCGAUGCCAUGGUCUCCCUGUGCUGGUUGGUUCAAAUAUACAUGUAUCUCUGCUUCUCUCUACCAUGGAACUGUCAGUGAGACAAAUACUUGGAAUCCUGGGGGGGAAAAAAAGGUGCACCCUGGGACUGAUGCAUGUCAACAGAGAGGGUGGCAGUACUAUCACUAGCUGGUAUGGUGGCCUCUUUAAUCUUUAUGAUGUUCUUGACACCAACCAGGUACGUUACGUAACGGACGCCUUUUUUUCCCAUCCGAACCGUAUGGUUGUUGGAGCAUUGCUGAUGAUGUGUGUUGUUUGUGCAGUAGAGCCUGCAGCUGAUUCCGUUGAGGGAGGGAGAUGGGGCAGAGAUUGUGCUGUUGGGUGGGGUGGGGUGGGGGAGGAGGGAAAGGGGGGAAGGUGA